RNAcentral lists this ribosomal RNA (378 nucleotides) under uncultured delta proteobacterium. RNAcentral's name for it is "bacterial SSU rRNA". It matches the Rfam family "Bacterial small subunit ribosomal RNA", at positions 114 to 479 of the family's 1533-position model. The record is from RNAcentral. Lineage: Bacteria; Deltaproteobacteria.
CACGUAGAUAAUCUACCUUCGAGCCUGGGAUAACUAUCCGAAAGGGUAGCUAAUACCGGAUAAAGUUGAUUAACAUAAGUUAAUUCAUGAAAGAUAGCCUCUGAUUUAAGCAAUUGUUUGGAGAUGAGUCUGCGGACCAUUAGUUAGUUGGUGGGGUAACGGCCUACCAAGACUGCGAUGGUUAGCUGGUCUGAGAGGAUGAUCAGUCACACUGGAACUGGAACACGGUCCAGACUCCUACGGGAGGCAGCAGUGAGGAAUUUUGCGCAAUGGGGGUAACCCCUGACGCAGCAACGCCGCGUGAGUGAAGAAGGCCUUUGGGUCGUAAAGCUCUGUCAACUGGGAAGAAGUUAUUGCUAUUUAAUAGAUAGUAGUAUU